GGGUGCGAUCAUACCAGCACUAAUGCACCGGAUCCCAUUAGAACUUCGAAGUUAAGCAUGCUUGGGAGAGGGUAGUAGUAGGAUGGGUGACCUCCUGGGAAGUCCUCGUGUUGCACUCC
Molecule: ribosomal RNA, 119 nt
Filed under: Nelumbo nucifera (sacred lotus)
Lineage: Eukaryota; Viridiplantae; Streptophyta; Magnoliopsida; Proteales; Nelumbonaceae
Source: RNAcentral